AUUGAACGCUGGCGGCAUGCUUUACACAUGCAAGUCGAACGGCAGCGCGGGCUUCGGCCUGGCGGCGAGUGGCGAACGGGUGAGUAAUGCAUCGGAACGUGCCCAGUAGUGGGGGAUAGCCCGGCGAAAGCCGGAUUAAUACCGCAUACGACCUGAGGGUGAAAGCGGGGGACCGAAAGGCCUCGCGCUAUUGGAGCGGCCGAUGUCGGAUUAGCUAGUUGGUGGGGUAAAGGCUUACCAAGGCGACGAUCCGUAGCUGGUCUGAGAGGACGACCAGCCACACGGGGACUGAGACACGGCCCAGACUCCUACGGGAGGCAGCAGUGGGGAAUUUUGGACAAUGGGGGCAACCCUGAUCCAGCAAUGCCGCGUGCGGGAAGAAGGCCUUCGGGUUGUAAACCGCUUUUGUUCGGGAAGAAAUACUCUGGGCUAAUACCCCGGGGGGAUGACGGUACCGGAAGAAUAAGCACCGGCUAACUACGUG
This 484-nucleotide ribosomal RNA is filed under the name uncultured bacterium. Its description in RNAcentral is "partial 16S ribosomal RNA". It matches the Rfam family "Bacterial small subunit ribosomal RNA", at positions 29 to 507 of the family's 1533-position model. The record is from RNAcentral.